AAUCUAGUACCCAUGAGCAGAAUCUCUCUCUCCCUCGUUAUCUCAUAUUCUAAGCAAAGUUAAAAGAAUGGCAAGUGAAAAUUCACCAUGAAAAAAGCAUAUGUGACAGUGGAGUCUCCACUUGUAGCAAGAGGAAUAUGCGGAGACAAAUUUAGGCAUCUGUGUGCGUGAGCAAAUUGGCAAGCUUGAUUGGAGGAGAUUGAGAUUCAACUUCAAGUCGGGGGAGAAAGCAACGUUUGUAAGGAAA
RNAcentral lists this unclassified non-coding RNA (247 nucleotides) under Hevea brasiliensis (rubber tree). The record is from RNAcentral. Lineage: Eukaryota; Viridiplantae; Streptophyta; Magnoliopsida; Malpighiales; Euphorbiaceae.